RNAcentral lists this long non-coding RNA (1492 nucleotides) under Homo sapiens (human). RNAcentral's name for it is "HSALNT0315443". Lineage: Eukaryota; Metazoa; Chordata; Mammalia; Primates; Hominidae. The record is from RNAcentral.
GCUUUAUGUCUAGCUCAGGGAUUGUAAAUAUACCAAUCGGCACUCUGUAUCUAGCUCAAGGUUUGUAAACACACCAAUCAGCACCCCUGUCUAGCUCAGGGUUUGUGAAUGCAAUCGACACUCUGUAUCUAGCUACUCUGGUGGGGACUUGGAGAACCUUUGUGUGGACACUCUGUAUCUAGCUAAUCUGGUGGGGACGUGGAGAACCUUUAUAUCUAGCUCAGGGAUUGUAAACACACCAAUCAGCGCCCUGUCAAAACAGACCACUCAGCUCUACCAAUCAGCAGGAUGUGGGUGGGGCCAGAUAAGAGAAUAAAAGCAGGCUGCCCAUGCCAGGAGUGGCAACCUGCUCGGGUCCCAUUCCACACUAUGGGAGCUUUGUUCCUUCACUCUUUGCAAUAAAUCUUGCUGCUGCUCACUCUUUGGGUCCACACUGCCUUUAUGAGCUGUAACACUCACUGCGAAGGUCUGCAGCUUCACCACGAACCCACCGGGAGGAACGAACAACUCCAGAUGCGCCGCCUUAGGAGCUGUAACACUCGCCGCGAAGGUCCGUGGCUUCACUCCUGAGCCAGCGAGACCACGAAGCCCACCAGAAGGAAGAAAUUCCGAACACAUCCGAACAUCAGAAGGAACAAACUCUGGACACGCCACCUUUAGGAACUGUAACACUCACCGCGAGGAUCCGCGGCUUCAUUCUUGAAGUCAGUGAGACCAAGAACCCACUAAUUCCGGACACACAGGGACAGCAAUCCACUGCUUGCCUUGAUGUACGAUUGAAGCCUAUCACCCCUUCUGCAGCAGUGGCUCCAGAGAGCAUCAGUAAAGAUGGCAAGAUUGAAAUCCAAGCAACAGAAUUUCCACUGAAUAGAAAUUUCUGAGGAAAGUGUAAGGACAGGUGUGAGAAUUCUGGUGGCAAGGAUGAGGAAGCAUCCCCCUUCCCAAACAGGAAAGAAGAGCCAAGAGACCUGAAAAGGAGCUGGAGCCAAGAAGGUGAAAAGGUGAGAGUUCCCAUUGCAAAUAACCUUCUCUCUGUAAAUAAAAAUGGAAAGGCACCUGCUGAAAGAUGGGAGACCAUGUGUGAAUUUGGGAAUCUGAGUAAUAAUAAAGCUGUUCCUAACAGUGACUGUGCAGUGCAGCACAAAGUUGCCAGGCUGCUAAAUUUGGGUUACAGAAAUUUGUGAAGAUGCCAAUUCAGGUUUUUUUGUUUUUAUUAAGAAGGAUACUAGCAAUUCUUAAAUCUGUCAGAUCAGAUUAUCUUAAAAUUUCUGAAGGCUUUUUUUCCACACAAACAAAUAAAUAUUUAUAAAAUGAACUAUAUGCUCAUACCCUUAGUGAAAAUAUAUGCACAUCAAUUUAUGACUUGUGUAAGUCAAUUACUAAUUCAAUUACUAAUGGGAAAUUGGAUGAACUCAGUAAAACUGUCUUAACUAUGUCUCUUGAGUUUCUUUUUCUAUUACAUGCUAAAUUACAAUAAAACCUUGACUACCUA